UUAAUUGAAACCAAAAAGAGGUAUAUUACUGUUAAUAAUAAAAUUGAAUUUUUUUUAUUCCAAUUAAG
RNAcentral lists this transfer RNA (68 nucleotides) under Tarnania fenestralis. Its description in RNAcentral is "tRNA-Asn". The record is from RNAcentral. Lineage: Eukaryota; Metazoa; Arthropoda; Insecta; Diptera; Mycetophilidae.